CACCGCGGUUAUACGAGUAACCCUUGUUGAUAGUACACGGCGUAAAGGGUGGUUAGGGUGUUUACUUUAAGUAAAGUCGAACUCUUCCAAGACUGUUAUAAGUAUACGGAACAUGAAGCCCAUUUACGAAUGUAACUUUAUAACCCUGAUUCCACGAAGGCUAGCGAAA
This 169-nucleotide ribosomal RNA is filed under the name Symphurus thermophilus (Western Pacific tonguefish). Its description in RNAcentral is "partial 12S rRNA". The record is from RNAcentral. Lineage: Eukaryota; Metazoa; Chordata; Actinopteri; Pleuronectiformes; Cynoglossidae.